GAGGUCUUAGCUUAAUUAAAGCUCCUGAGUUGCAUUCAGGAKAUGUAUACUAAAGUUAUACAGGUCUUC
Molecule: transfer RNA, 69 nt
Filed under: Bavayia endemia
Lineage: Eukaryota; Metazoa; Chordata; Lepidosauria; Squamata; Diplodactylidae
Description: tRNA-Ala
Source: RNAcentral